UACGUAGGGCCCAAGCGUUGUUCGGAUUUACUGGGCGUAAAGGGCGCGUAGGCGGCUUAACAAGUCACUUGUGAAAUCUCCGGGCUUAACUCGGAACGGCCAAGUGAAACUGUCAAGCUAGAGUGCAGAAGGGGCAAUCGGAAUUCUUGGUGUAGCGGUGAAAUGCGUAGAUAUCAAGAGGAACACCUGAGGUGAAGACGGGUUGCUGGGCUGACACUGACGCUGAGGCGCGAAAGCCAGGGGAGCAAACGGG
Molecule: ribosomal RNA, 253 nt
Filed under: uncultured bacterium
Lineage: Bacteria
Description: partial 16S ribosomal RNA
Rfam family: Bacterial small subunit ribosomal RNA
Source: RNAcentral